Triticum dicoccoides is the source of this 279-nucleotide long non-coding RNA. RefSeq lists it as uncharacterized. Lineage: Eukaryota; Viridiplantae; Streptophyta; Magnoliopsida; Poales; Poaceae. The record is from RefSeq and is a predicted model, not a curated record. The transcript has 3 exons.
CCGGAAUAUCGGCUCCACAGAGGACGCCAUCACAGAUCUUGCUUGCCUUAUCGUGACAUCUUCUUUGCCAUGCCCGUCUUUCCGGCUUGAGGCUUAUCAAACACUUUUGGGUUCAAGAUUCAGGACAAACAAGGCAAGAUGCACAAAUUUAACUGUGGUAUGCACACUCAUUUUGGUGUCACACAACUGGAGUUAUAUCAUCGCUCUUUCUUUUCCCAUGUCAUGCCCAGUAAUUUAUACUAUUGUUCAAGCUCCAUUGAUAAAUCGAACCUACCUCAA